AGUGAACGCUGGCGGUAGGCCUAACACAUGCAAGUCGAACGGCAGCACAGUAAGAGCUUGCUCUUACGGGUGGCGAGUGGCGGACGGGUGAGGAAUACAUCGGAAUCUACUUUUUCGUGGGGGAUAACGUAGGGAAACUUACGCUAAUACCGCAUACGACCUACGGGUGAAAGCAGGGGAUCUUCGGACCUUGCGCGAUUGAAUGAGCCGAUGUCGGAUUAGCUAGUUGGCGGGGUAAAGGCCCACCAAGGCGACGCUCCGUAGCUGGUCUGAGAGGAUGAUCAGCCACACUGGAACUGAGACACGGUCCAGACUCCUACGGGAGGCAGCAGUGGGGAAUAUUGGACAAUGGGCGCAAGCCUGAUCCAGCCAUACCGCGUGGGUGAAGAAGGCCUUCGGGUUGUAAAGCCCUUUUGUUGGGAAAGAAAAGCAGCAGGUUAAUACCCCGUUGUUCUGACGGUACCCAAAGAAUAAGCACCGGCUAACUUCGUG
Molecule: ribosomal RNA, 492 nt
Filed under: uncultured bacterium
Lineage: Bacteria
Description: partial 16S ribosomal RNA
Rfam family: Bacterial small subunit ribosomal RNA
Source: RNAcentral